UGCCCGUGAUAGUCCCUCUGAGAUGUUACUGAAUUACAAGGUCCGAGAAAUCCUGACCACAAGCCAACAGAUCCCUCAGAAGAACAUCAGGGCACAAAAGGACAUGUUCUUCACUGUAGCAAAGAGAAGUAAAUAAAAAGACUGUUAUAGAAGAGAAACAAGAGGAAAGCCACAAAGGAUUUCAGCCAAAGGAAAACUUAUACGAAUCUUAAAAUGAAGCUCCAGAUAUGUCAGUUGAUUGAGUGACAUAUAUGUAAAGAGAGCCAGGAAUUCACUGAUUAUGUGCUGAUCCAAAAAGCCCUUUGAAAUUAAGAAAUAAUAAAAAAAAAAAG
This 332-nucleotide long non-coding RNA is filed under the name Coturnix japonica (Japanese quail). RNAcentral describes it as "lncRNA (ENSCJPG00005012313.1)". The record is from RNAcentral. Lineage: Eukaryota; Metazoa; Chordata; Aves; Galliformes; Phasianidae.